CCUACGGGCGGCAGCAGUGGGGAAUAUUGGACAAUGGGCGCAAGCCUGAUCCAGCCAUACCGCGUGGGUGAAGAAGGCCUUCGGGUUGUAAAGCCCUUUUGUUGGGAAAGAAAUCCUGUCGGUUAAUACCCGGUAGGGAUGAUGGUACCCAAAGAAUAAGCACCGGCUAACUUCGUGCCAGCAGCCGCGGUAAUACGAAGGGUGCAAGCGUUACUCGGAAUUACUGGGCGUAAAGCGUGCGUAGGUGGUUUGUUAAGUCUGAUGUGAAAGCCCUGGGCUCAACCUGGGAAUGGCAUUGGAUACUGGCGAGCUAGAGUGCGGUAGAGGAUGGCGGAAUUCCCGGUGUAGCAGUGAAAUGCGUAGAGAUCGGGAGGAACAUCUGUGGCGAAGGCGGCCAUCUGGACCAGCACUGACACUGAGGCACGAAAGCGUGGGGAGCAAACAGGAUUAGAUACCCGGGUAGUC
RNAcentral lists this unclassified non-coding RNA (465 nucleotides) under uncultured fungus. RNAcentral's name for it is "partial internal transcribed spacer 1". It matches the Rfam family "Bacterial small subunit ribosomal RNA", at positions 338 to 795 of the family's 1533-position model. Lineage: Eukaryota; Fungi. The record is from RNAcentral.